RNAcentral lists this ribosomal RNA (196 nucleotides) under uncultured bacterium. Its description in RNAcentral is "partial 16S ribosomal RNA". It matches the Rfam family "Bacterial small subunit ribosomal RNA", at positions 326 to 539 of the family's 1533-position model. The record is from RNAcentral.
ACGCUUGACACCUACGGGGCAGCAGUGGGGAAUAUUGCACAAUGGGGGAAACCCUGAUGCAGCGACGCCGCGUGGAGGAAGAAGGUCUUCGGAUUGUAAACUCCUGUUGUUGGGGAAAAAGAGGAUGGUACCCAACAAGGAAGUGACGGCUAACUACGUGCCAGCAGCCGCGGUAAUCUGAGCGGGCUGGCAAGGC